Molecule: ribosomal RNA, 484 nt
Filed under: uncultured bacterium
Lineage: Bacteria
Description: partial 16S ribosomal RNA
Rfam family: Bacterial small subunit ribosomal RNA
Source: RNAcentral
ACUCAAAGGAAUUGACGGGGACCCGCACAAGCGGUGGAGCGUGUUGUUUAAUUCGAUGAUAAGCGAAGAACCUUACCCAGGCUUGACAUCCUUGGAAUUUCUUCGAAAGAAGAAAGUGCUUUAUUGAGCCAAGUGACAGGUGAUGCAUGGCCGUCGUCAGCUCGUGUCGUGAGAUGUUUGGUUAAGUCCAUCAACGAGCGCAACCCUUAUGUCCAGUUGGAUUUCUCUGGACAGACUGCCCUGGUAACAGGGAGGAAGGGGGGGAUGAUGUCAGGUCAGUAUUUCCCUUACGUCUGGGGCUACAAACACGCUACAAUGGCCGGUACAAAGGGCUGCCAACCCGCGAGGGGGAGCAAAUCCCAUCAAAGCCGGUCUCAGUUCGGAUUGCAGGCUGAAACUCGCCUGCAUGAAGCCGGAAUCGCUAGUAAUGGUAGGUCAGCACACUACCGUGAAUACGUUCCCGGGUCUUGCACACACCGCCCGU